This 1663-nucleotide unclassified non-coding RNA is filed under the name Hevea brasiliensis (rubber tree). Lineage: Eukaryota; Viridiplantae; Streptophyta; Magnoliopsida; Malpighiales; Euphorbiaceae. The record is from RNAcentral.
ACUAGAUUGUUGAAAAAACGAUCUAGAUAAUAAAUCAUGAAAAUACUCGCAGCCUACAUCUUGCAUUUGUUUCAUCUUAUUGGAUUGAUUUAUAAAACCCUCUGCCAUCCAUAACAAAACUAACUCAUCCUGAUUGAAUUCAUAAUCUUUUGGAAAAACAGCGCAAUAAGCAAAGCAAGGCUUUAAAUGGGAAGGAAGAUGAAGAUAACUCAACCUUAAAGCUGGAAGAAUGUUGCUUUUCUCAUUAGGUAAAUCCCAAAUUUCGUUGUUCAACACGUCCUCCCAUAUAUUACGAUUUGGGUUACCCCUCAACAAGCCUCCAAGAGCCUUGGCUGCUAAAGGCAAUCCUUGACAUCUUUUGACAAUUUGUUUACCUAUUUCUUCCAAUUCCAAGUGCUCAUCAAAAUUCGCGGCUCCCAAAGCAUGUUGGGCAAAUACAGAGAGGCAAUCUUCAAAGGACAACUGCUUAAGAGAAUAACCUCGAAUGGUGCCCGUAAAGGACGAGACACUUUCAUUUCGAGUUGUGAUAAUUAUUCUGCUUCCCGGUGCUCCUACUUCGAAAGGAACGUAAAAGAGAGUCCAGUGGUCAUAACUAUCUGUCCAAACAUCAUCAAGGACGAUCAAAAAUUUCUUCUGGGACAACUUGUCCUUCAAUUUCAUCUGAAGGGAAUUCAAAUCUUUAUCAUCACAACCCCCAGAUUGAAGAAUGGUUUUGGCCAUUCUAAGAACAUCAAAAUCUUCCCCAACACAAACCCAACUUUUGAAAUUAAACUCCAGUGAGGCAUCGUUGAAGAUGAGCUGAGCGAGAGUCGUCUUGCCGACGCCCCCCAUGCCAACUAUGGGAAUCACCGAGACAUUUCCACCACUUGCUUCUUUCUUCAACAAUUCAAUUAUUUCUUUCUUAUCCUUUUCCCUCCCAUAAAUCUUUGCUUCAUUGACCAAGGAUGUUGAAGGUAGUCUUGCUCUCACUCGACUGUUCCCCCCUCUAGUCCACUCUCCUAAAUGCAGAUCAUCCUUUUCUUUAAUGAUCUCAUCUAAUCUGGCACUGAUUCCGGCAAUCUUGGAGGCCAUCUCGGCGUUGAACUUAAAAGUAGUUAGAUUCAUACUAGCAGAAACAGUAGAGAUGAUUUUCCGUACCUUACUUGCACGGGCCAGUGGUUCCGCCUCCAGCUUGCGUCUCUGAGCCUCAGUUGCAAGUUCAUCAAGAACGUCCUCCGCAUCAUAAGCCAAGUCCCUGAGGUCGCUUACCCACAUCUUCACCAAUGGGUUCUCCCACUGCUUUUCCUCUGCAUCGUCAAGCACCAAAUAAAUUUUGUUCAACAUCCUCCUCCAUUUCUUGAGUUCAGCCUGGACAUUCCCUUCUUGGGCAUACUUCAACAAGUCCAUGGAAGUCAACCUGUCGAGUAGCCCCUGAAAGGAAGCAGAGAAAAUGGCACCUCCAAUCGCAAUCACCGUCUCCAUUAGAAAGAACAACCGCAGAAACUAAGAACACAAGUCUGAGAAGAGAUAUAUCGGAAACACAGAAUUCAAGUGAAAUUUUUGAAACGGCAAUGGAAAAAUUGGUUCAACCACCCAAUUCCAUUGACGUCUGUUUGAUAGUAUUUGUCGACUGAUUGACGAUUGACGGAGGACACAAAUAUUAAUGAAAUGGAAGGUGCCAAGC